This is an RNA transcript of Bubalus bubalis (water buffalo), 2756 nucleotides long. It is a transcript of the gene named phorbol-12-myristate-13-acetate-induced protein 1, with no coding region annotated. The transcript has 2 exons. Lineage: Eukaryota; Metazoa; Chordata; Mammalia; Artiodactyla; Bovidae. The record is from RefSeq and is a predicted model, not a curated record.
AGAGCUGGGGCCCGCGGAGAUCCUGGCCGGGAAGGGGGCCGGGGUCGCGGUCUCGGUCCGGGCAGGGGCAGCCCGUCGCCCCGGGGCCUAAGAGCCGGGCGGGACCCGCGCCCUGGCACGUGCUUUAGGGGCGCCUCCGGGACGCUGUUCGCGGGUUUAACCCGGGGCGGUGGGGAUGGCUAGGGAAGGGGCGAGCCUUGCGAUGGGGAUGCUGCUGCGUUUGAGCGGCGGCCGAAAGCCGCCUCUCCUUCGCCUGCCUUCAGUCUGCUCUCGCCCUCCCCGGGGCCACGCGGAGAAAGUCAUUGUCACGGCCGGGGGCGCCGCUGGCGUUCAGCGCUUCCCGAGACAGGCCCUUUUCCUCCGGGGUCCAGGACCUUUUGAGGAUCCUUCUCCGUGUCUGACCGCUGUCCCCAGCCCCAGCAGCAACAAAAGUGAUACUAAUGCUUGAUGCCGUCACAGUUCUGCAAAGGACGGAUGGAGGGUUAUGGAAGCCCCGAAAGGACCAACGAAGUCAGAAGCCUAGAAGGCCUGGCUUCUUAGUUAAUUAAAAGUAUAACAUUUUGACAGUCGGUAUUAGUUACAGAAAGGCCAUAGAGAAAAACAGAAGAUGGUCCACAGUGUUGUUUAAUCCAUCCCUUCCUCCGCCCUUCCCCAUCCAUGUAGCCCCAUUAAGUAACGUCAGGUCACCUCUCCUCCUCCCCGCUUUUAUAAAUCUUAUCAAACAAAGCAGACAUCUGCUAAGGAGCAGUAGCAAAGAAGUAAGACCGUGGGCUGGAAAUCCGUGUGGGUCAUACUGCUGUUACAUCAGACGGAAUUGGGCCCCGUUUAAACUUAGCUUAAUUUUAUGGAGCCCCUGAGGCGUGCAAAGGAAGUGGUGCACGGCCAGUGUGGCCGUGGCUAAGUCGGCACAAGGCUGCUCUCCAGCUCUUGCUUCGGAGGGAAGAAGCAUUGUCCGUCUUCUGUGAUGUCCAAGAGUUCUGGCUGUGUUGCAAGAAUUUCAUAUCCUUCACCGUCCAACUUGGCCCCCUUUAAUAAGGGACAGCAAAAAGGUCCCUCUUAAACUUGAUUAGAUGAUCCUGAAGUUGAAUGUGCCAUUCAGUUGAGGAGAAUUGGAGACAAACUGAAUUUCCGGCAGAAACUUGUGAAUCUGAUAUCCAAACUCCUCCGCUCAGGAACUUGACUUAAGGCGCUUUCGAAUGAGGAGACUCCUUUCAAAGGAAGAUUCCCCAGUAGAUACAAAUUUUAUCAAUUGGAGGAGAGACUGCCUGGGAAUGGAGGAGAGUGUGAAGGGACUCUCAGCUGGUUUUGAAUGCUCUUGGAAAUGAAGAUGGAUACAUCGCACAUGAAUUUCUGUCGGAGGUUUGCCAGAAGUUGUUGUUGGGGAUUCGAGAACAUUAAAAAUCCACUUUUUAUUUUAAAACAAGAAUGGAGGAACUUUGGACAUAUGGAAUCAAUUCUUUAUACAUUUUGGUUUUGUUUAGAGACUUGUUCUAGUAUUUUUGCUGAAGGUUGCUGCCCAGUGUAAGAGGAGCUGACAAAUGAUUCUAGACUAUGGUCAGGGGCUGGGAAACAAUGUAUACUCCAUGUUUGUUUCUCCUUUUGGGUGACAAUGGCAGAACGAUGUGUAACCUUUGGUUUAUGUAUAUUACUUUGUUAAGAGUAAAACUUUUUUUUGAGAACACUGAAUGUGAUAGUGAAUGUUAAUUUCAUAGGUCACUACAAAAUAUAAACUAAUCUGAAAGUUUCUUUUGAGUUAAGAUGUAUUGCUGUUUCUGUUCAGAAGAUCUUUUACUAAGUGUGUUCCAAUGAGCCUUACCCUGGGAAGUGAUAUACUUUGAAAAAAUUUGAAGUGUUACUUGGUGCCAGUGAAAUUCUUGCAGAAAAGAAAAAGAAUCAUGGGGACUUUGCAUAACUCUGAAUAAUUUAAAAAGUGAUAGAUUUUUUUAACUGCUGUAAUUAAAACUUGGUAAGAUGAAUAUUCUAAUAUAACUGUUGAUAAAAAAAUGAAUAUUUUUAAAGAAGUUUCUAAAAUCUGUAAAAUGUCCUUUCUUAUACUCAGUGUAUAUUGUAUAAGAGUGAUCUUUUAAGAGAGAUUAAGCAUGUUUUCAUAAUUGAGAUACAUACAUGUAUUUUUCAAAAGGAACAGAUUGCUCAUCCAGAAUGAAAAUCCCAUUUACAUACAUAUGCAUAACUUCAUCUGCUAUAUCUAUAUAUUAUCUAUAUAUAUAUAGUGUUAGAGUAAUAGGUAUAUUCUGAGACGGGCUUCAUGAAUUGCUGUUUUCAAUUAUUAAAAGGCCAGGCUAUCAACAAAACUCCACAAAUAUAUAAAAAAAGAAAUAAUACUGUCAAGAUUGAAUUUCAGCAGGAAUAAUCUUAUUUAUUUUACUUAUUUAUCAUUAAACUAUUUUUUCUUUCAUUUGAUAAUAAAGUUGCAUUUUGGAAUUUUGAGGCAAGGGUUUCAUAACUACUUGAACUCUUACUGGAAGAAUGUUUUAAUAUAGGCUGUAGUCACUUUAGAUGAAAAAUUACCUCAGCAUGUUUUUUUCUUCAGUAUUACUUAAAGCUGUUAGUUUAUUUAGUUGCAAAGACUUUUUUUGAGGGGGAGGGGGCAGCAUCUGCCUAGAGGAGAAUCUUGCGACUUGGAUAUUUAUGGUCUAUAACUAUAUUUAUACAUAGAUACAAUUAAAAUUUGAUACUGUAGCUGUAACCUAUUAAAUAAUUAAAAAAUUACCUAUUAAAUAACCUAUUAAAAAUUA